UGGUGGGGUGCAGGAGUGAUAUGACGAAAUGAAAAACGCGCAAUAGAAGUGGACUGUUUUUUUUUUUUGGUAUAAUGGGGUGAUCUGAGGAAAUGAUAUCGAGUAAUGGAAGUGCUUCUGGAGGGCCAAACAGGUCGUGAAGGCAGCAGUGGAUGAAAAACCUGCAGAAAUUGGAACGACGAGAUAAAUUAGCAGACCGCUGAAAGGAAGAAAAGGAGCACAGCCAAAAAUACAGAUUUCUUUUCAUUCUUCUUUUGUGCCGACAGAAGUAUAUCUAGAGGAAAAUAGAGCAAAACUAUCAAGUGAAAACGUCAGAGCUACGAUCUAGAAGCUUACACGGAUGAUGGAGCUUGGAAGCAGACUUGUCAGAGCACAACGUGUCGAGGAAGGCAGAUGCAAAGUUGCCGGAGAUGCAGGUUCGAGCUAGUGUUUUGCUAUUGCAAACGAGACGCAGAAGUCUUCAAAGAGCAGGUCAGCAAGGUAACCCCAGCUCUGAUCCUGUAUAAUUAAGUUGAGCUGAGUUGGAGUCUCUCAAAAACUAAACUGUAACACUCUUGAUAACUCAUUAUAAGAUAUAUUUUUUCCCAUCUUUUGUGCGGACAGUAGUAUUUCUAGAUGCAAAACUAACAAGUGAAAAUAUCGCCUAGAUACUUCUGCAAAGAAUCAAUAAAAGGCUUCCUUCUCCAAAAAGAAAAAAACAUGUGAAAACAUCAAAGGGAUGGUCUUGAAGCUUACACGGAUGAUCGACCUCAGAAGCAGAGUUGGAUGAUCGACCUUUGAAGCAGAGUUAUUGGAGUGGCGCAGCGAGGAAGGCGGAUGCAAGGUUGCCGGGGAUGCUAUUGCAAAUGAAUGAGGGCGGGUGCAAGGUUCGCAGAGAUGCUAUUGCAAAUGUGCCGCAGAAGUCUCCAAAAGCAGCAGGUCAGGA
This 925-nucleotide long non-coding RNA is filed under the name Triticum aestivum (bread wheat). Its description in RNAcentral is "long non-coding RNA (TAES_LNC026330)". The record is from RNAcentral. Lineage: Eukaryota; Viridiplantae; Streptophyta; Magnoliopsida; Poales; Poaceae.